Molecule: ribosomal RNA, 253 nt
Filed under: uncultured bacterium
Lineage: Bacteria
Description: partial 16S ribosomal RNA
Rfam family: Bacterial small subunit ribosomal RNA
Source: RNAcentral
UACGUAGGGUGCGAGCGUUGUCCGGAAUUAUUGGGCGUAAAGAGCUCGUAGGCGGUUUGUUGCGUCGGCUGUGAAAUCCCGAGGCUCAACCUCGGGUCUGCAGUCGAUACGAGCAAACUAGAGUGUUGCAGGGGAGACUGGAAUUCCUGGUGUAGCGGUGAAAUGCGCAGAUAUUGGGAGGAACACCAGUGGCGAAGGCGGCUCGCUGGACCGGUUCUGACGCUGAGGCGCGAAAGCGUGGGGAGCAAACAGG